UAGGUAGUUUCCUGUUGUUGGGA
This 23-nucleotide microRNA is filed under the name Dasypus novemcinctus (nine-banded armadillo). RNAcentral's name for it is "dno-miR-196b-5p". Its record names the gene dno-miR-196b-5p. Lineage: Eukaryota; Metazoa; Chordata; Mammalia; Cingulata; Dasypodidae. The record is from miRBase by way of RNAcentral. RNAcentral also lists the same sequence under 14 other names.